Microcebus murinus (gray mouse lemur) is the source of this 735-nucleotide non-coding RNA. NCBI's taxonomy places the organism in Eukaryota, Metazoa, Chordata, Mammalia, Primates, Cheirogaleidae. The record is from RefSeq and is a predicted model, not a curated record.
GUUGCCAUAACAACGGCCAGCGGAGUCGGUCAGUUAUGGCCUCCAACUUUAAGAAGGGUAACUUGGCUUCAACUGCUCAGCGAAAAAGGAUGAAUCCUAAGCCUGAGCUUACUGAAGAGCAGAAACAGGAGAUCCGGGAGGCUUUCGAUCUCUUCGAUGCUGAUGGCACUGGGACUAUAGAUGUUAAGGAACUUAAGGUGGCAAUGAGAGCCCUGGGCUUUGAACCCAAGAAAGAAGAAAUCAAGAGAAUGAUAAAUGAAAUUGAUAAGGAAGGGACAGGGAAAAUGAAUUUUAGUGACUUUUUGACUGUGAUGACUCAGAAAAUGUCUGAGAAAGAUACCAAAGAAGAAAUCCUGAAAGCUUUCAAGCUCUUCGAUGACGAUAAAACUGGGAAGAUAUCAUUCAAAAACCUGAAACGCGUGGCCAAGGAGUUGGGUGAGAACCUGACCGAUGAAGAGCUGCAGGAAAUGAUUGACGAAGCUGAUCAAGACGGAGAUGGAGAGGUCAGUGAGCAAGAGUUCCUGCGCAUCAUGAAGACCAGCCUGUUUUAAGAUCGGCAUCUUGUCUACGCAAGCACGCGUGAUGAGAUGUAGUGCCUGCCGCUGUGAGAAAUCUGACUUUUGAGAACACAAACUUUUUCCCUCACUGACCUCCCUGUAUAACUUUAAUAGUGACCUUGAAUCUAUUUUAGACUUUUGGAAGUGUUCUUUGAUAUUAAAGUUCCUUGUAAAGUGA